This is a non-coding RNA of Tetraodon nigroviridis (spotted green pufferfish), 75 nucleotides long. NCBI's taxonomy places the organism in Eukaryota, Metazoa, Chordata, Actinopteri, Tetraodontiformes, Tetraodontidae. The record is from Rfam.
UGACUGUUUAAUCUCUGCAGGCAACUGUGAUGGUGAUUUUUAUUCUCACAAUCACCUGGAGAGAUUCUGCAGUUU